UGGGGAAUAUUGCACAAUGGGCGAAAGCCUGAUGCAGCAACGCCGCGUGAGUGAUGAAGGCCUUCGGGUUGUAAAGCUCUGUCUUUUGGGACGAUAAUGACGGUACCAAAGGAGGAAGCCACGGCUAACUACGUGCCAGCAGCCGCGGUAAUACGUAGGUGGCAAGCGUUGUCCGGAUUUACUGGGCGUAAAGGAUGCGUAGGCGGAUUUUUAAGUGAGAUGUGAAAACCCUAAGCUUAACUUGGGGACUGCAUUUCAUACUGGAAAUCUAGAGUGCGGGAGAGGAGAAUGGAAUUCCUAGUGUAGCGGUGAAAUGCGUAGAGAUUAGGAAGAACACCAGUGGCGAAGGCGAUUCUCUGGACCGUAACUGACGCUGAGGCAUGAAAGCGUGGGUAGCAAACAGGAUUAGAUACCCCUGGUAGUCCACGCCGUAAACGAUGAGUACUAGGUGUAGGAGGUAUCGACCCCUUCUGUGCCGCAGUUAACACAAUAAGUACUCCGCCUGGGAAGUACGAUCGCAAGAUUAAAACUCAAAUGAAUUGACGGGGUCAUAGCUGUUUUCCU
Molecule: ribosomal RNA, 564 nt
Filed under: uncultured bacterium
Lineage: Bacteria
Description: partial 16S ribosomal RNA
Rfam family: Bacterial small subunit ribosomal RNA
Source: RNAcentral